GUUGUAGCUCAGUGGUAGAGCGGUAGCCUAUAAUGGAUGGGGCACUGAGUUCGAUUCUCAGCACACA
This 67-nucleotide transfer RNA is filed under the name Marmota monax (woodchuck). RNAcentral's name for it is "tRNA.Undet". The record is from RNAcentral. Lineage: Eukaryota; Metazoa; Chordata; Mammalia; Rodentia; Sciuridae.